UGAAAUGAUGAUAGUGAUUGUCGCCCCAGUCUUAAUUUGCACCACAAUGGUGUAACAUGGUGACUGACUUUUAUAUCUGAUCU
This is a small nucleolar RNA of Lathyrus oleraceus (garden pea), 83 nucleotides long. RefSeq annotates it as small nucleolar RNA U31b. The record is from RefSeq and is a predicted model, not a curated record. Lineage: Eukaryota; Viridiplantae; Streptophyta; Magnoliopsida; Fabales; Fabaceae. The transcript has a single exon.